GUUUGAUCCUGGCUCAGAACGAACGUUAGCGGCGCGCCUAACACAUGCAAGUCGAGCGAGAAAGGGGCAACCCCGGUAAAGCGGCGCACGGGUGAGUAACACGUAGGUAAUCUACCCCUCGGGUGGAGGAUAACUUUCCGAAAGGAAGGCUAAUACUGCAUGAGACCACGAUUCCGGAAGGGAUUGAGGUCAAAGCCGGCCACUGUACACAAGCUGGCGCCUGAGGAUGAGCCUGCGGCCCAUCAGCUAGUUGGUAGGGUAAUGGCCUACCAAGGCGAAGACGGGUAGCUGGUCUGAGAGGAUGAUCAGCCACACUGGAACUGAGACACGGUCCAGACUCCUACGGGAGGCAGCAGUGGGGAAUCUUGCGCAAUGGGCGAAAGCCUGACGCAGCGACGCCGCGUGAGUGAUGAAGGCCUCGGUGUAAG
RNAcentral lists this ribosomal RNA (428 nucleotides) under uncultured bacterium. RNAcentral's name for it is "bacterial SSU rRNA". It matches the Rfam family "Bacterial small subunit ribosomal RNA", at positions 11 to 429 of the family's 1533-position model. The record is from RNAcentral.